UAAAAAAUGAUUACGCUCAUGCAGAUUUGAGGGUAGUCUACAUGUACUUGAUGACAAGAUCUAGAAGGAGUAACACGCCUACAUACACGGGCGUUUGUUCAAUUCUAGGCUAUUAUAUAACGCACAGAUGUAUGUCCCGUCCCGGAAAUGGCCUACAUCAGAAACAUAAACGGGGCACGUUGAAGCUGAAAGCCCGUCUGCUCAUUAUUUAAUUGAGGCAUAUCCCUGAAUGAGAUGUGUCCAGGCCUGGUAAUAUGUUACACAUUCACCAGCGGGUGAAGUCAGAGGGACGAACGUGACAAAGUCGGGAAAGGCCUGGUGGUUGAUCUCCUCUGCACUUCAUGCGCCGGCGACAUCAACAUGAACACAGCGCACCGAUAAGGUAUAAGUGUCCAUGAACAUGUACUCAGCAGCCCCGCUAGCGAACAUGCUGUGGCUCCCUCUUCCCGUUCGUGCUUUCUCUUCGAAUGAGGGGGAAGAGGGGAAAACAUCUCUAUUAAUACGUGUAGCAAGGUUGAUAAGAUGAAUUCCACUGUAAGGCCUGUGGCAACAAUUACUUCGGCAGUCCAAAAUACUUGUCAAAUCAUUGUCACGAGGCAGCCUUCUUGUUAAAGACUGCCCAUUAUGGGAUGGUCACUGACGUGCCAGCACUUAUGAUUCUACUGGCUGUCUUCCUUCAGCUUUUGUGUAAGAGGAGAAAUACAAUUUGUCAGCAAUCCGAGUAAUUCCACCGUCUUUUCUUGUCACUCGUUCUUGCAUAAAGGCAGGCCACAAGAAUAACUAAGUGCCCAGGAUAUGAAUACGUUGGUGGUGAGAACUGUUUGAAAUCGUUCCAGAAUUCAGUAUUCAGUGCGUGACAGUUUUAAUUAAAAACAGUGUGUUGAUCCUGACUCUUUUUUCCAGGAACUGCACAAGACCUGCACUGUAUCGUGCAGGUUUAAUAAUAAUGCUCCCGGGGGAGGGGGCAGGCUGUAGUAACAAAUAAAUAUUAGCACUAUUGUUUCUACAGCCGCGUGUAUUUUCUAAAAGGUAUUGGUGGUUGGAGUUUACUUACAGAACGAAAUGGGCAACCACCUUUCCAAGAAGUGUAAAAAUUCGGAAACCCCUUUUCGCAAUACGAACAUUCUUACAAUGGUUUAAUUUGGCGGAUGGGUUGUUAAUAUUUCUUUUCAGUUUGAUUGUACCUCUUAGUUAAGGAGGUCAAGUUCACGAAUAUAUUCAGUUGGAUGGCUGUUGUAAUUUUGAAAUGAACUGAAUUCCAUUUUCAGGUGUAUUGUUCGUUGGCUGGUAUUAAAGUUGAAAUUAAACCAUUGUUACAGUUUAGUCAAACGCAUGAGUAAAUACACUCGAAUAAAACGUGCCCACUCAUAGAGUCCACAAAAAUAUUCGCAAGAAAAAAUUAUAUAGUUCUUUAAUUGUGAUUAACUGCCGGUAGAACUGAAAUGAGUACACUUUAGUUCAUAAUUUUGUUGGCAAUCCCAGGAGCACUCAUCACAAGCGAUCGGCUCUCCCUGGACCAUCCAAGCGUGAGAAGAUCGCAAUUAAUGAAACGGCGAGAGAAAUACUCCUGUUGUGGGCCGUUGAUAUCACUCAGUAUCGUGUAAUAUUUGUGCCUUGCCGGAACAAUGCUCACAGAAUGGGGUCAGCUUGGCCCCUGGGCGAUGUGCGAUGAGUUGGGGGUACCAUCCCCUUCUGUGUCUUCGUCUUUAGCUCAGAUUUCUCGCCCGGCUGGCCACACAGUACGUUCAGUGAGGCAAAUAACCUCUCCAAAAAGCACGAUUUCAUUUCCCGUAAUUUCUUUAAAUAACAUUGUCUUUUAAACUGAAGGCAAAUGAAACGGGCAAUUAACCCAUUCCGAGGCUGGUUCAGUUGGAAUUGGAGGCAUGCACAGAGUUUGUUUUAUAUAAAUGAAUUACUCUAGCAUAAAUUGUAAAAUACACGAACCGAUGCAUGGUGACUCAUUGUGGAGUAAUUUAAUUGGUGGAGAGCGAAAUGUACCAGGUUUUUAUGCAUUGUUUGGUCUCUUCGGAAGAGACUGUUCUUAGAAAACUAUAUUUUCUUAAAAUUUUGCAUGUUGACAGCCUUAUUUAAAGAUGCAGUCACUUGACCAAGGAGUUGGUCUCCUUGGCGUUGAGCUACUGAUCUGAAUACCUAACGUGAAAGGUUGUUAUAUAAUUAUACGCUUGUUAGCCCGUUUGAAAUUUCAACUACUUUUCUGUCAUUGUUGUUUCCUAACACUGCUGUAUUCACGUAACGAUGUACACAUUAACAAUUUGCUGAAUUCACGAGGAGAACUACAAUUAUAAUCUUAAUUAGUAAAUCAUUAUACAUUUUGAUUUUCGUCCUACCAAAUUUUAAAGGUGAGAGGUCAGAGCAUGAAACCAUAUUGAGUAUGCUUCAGGUGGUUUCAGUACGUUGACGUCUGCACCUUGUCCAAUACAGAGUUAAGUGCGCUAUAAAUCUUUGGCUGAGUUGCUAUCAAAGGGUAGAUAUUCUAAAGCCGCCCUCGGUAUGUCAUCUCACUGUCAAAUUGAAACGAUUCGGUCACUUAAUCUCGCACAAAAGAGGAUUCACCUUUACAAAGUUUUUUCUUUUAAUAUAAAUUGAUAUGUUGUGAUCAGGGAGACGUGUGAAAGCAAUAUCAGAAGAGCAUAUGGGUGUUUGAGAGUGAAACGGCUGUAGUCACUUUAUGAUUAUAAAAAUGAUGCGUUGUACAUGUACUUUUGCUUUUCUUUAUUAUGGUGAAUAGCAGCUUUUAUGGAGUACCUGCAUAAAUCCCCGUCAUAUAAUUGGUGGAUCGUUGAUCACAUGACAUUGAAUUAUUCGUUCUUUUCAAUGGGUAUUCCGUUAAGUAGAAGUUCAUUUCACUUUCCUGGUUCCCAACCACAUUUCAUCAUUUCAUUCAAAAAAUGUAAGGAGGGGAAGCAGUCUGGCAUUUUACAAAGUACCUUUGGGUGUUGCUUCAAACACUAAUCUGUUUUGCAAAUUAGGGGACGUAAUACACGAGGACCGUAAUUUUUUCUCCGAACAGAAGAGGAUUUAUACAGCAGUUGCAGUUCAAUCAAUUGAAGGGAGUUUUACAACUGGACACAAAGAGGAAAAAUCAAGAAGCGUGGAUUUUUCAGUGCUGACUAUAGGAGAAGAACAGUAGCAUGUCUUGGUGUAUGAGAGGAUGCUCCGCUGACGUCUCGGUGUCGUGUCUCGAGAGCCCCGUCGAGUCCUCCUUAAUGCAUAAUCUGCUCUUCACAGUGCGAGUACAUCAUCUCCCCAUGCAGUUACCGCCAGAGUUCCGUGGGAAGGCUGAAAGAUGAAUGCGUCAAGUGACUCUGACUUAUAUGUUAUCGGCGGUGAUUUGACGUCGUGACAAUGUAAUCAUCUGUCGGGUCGCGUUAAGUAUCGACAAGUAUGCUGGCAUGCGUCGUAGGAGGCAUCGUGUAAUUAGCCCGUAUGCCUGAUGUCUAUGCAUGUACUUCUUAAGUCAACACUAGAGCGGAAUUCGUAUUCCUGCAAUCGUGUGUGGUUUGACAAGUUGGUAUGACGUGAAGCAGUACUUGUAUAAUUACGCUUAAUUCAUCCAUAGCUAGGAAAAGUGCAUACAGACUUUAUCAUUCAAGAAGCUAUAUGAGUUAACGGAUGAUCAGAUAGGUAUCGAAUAGGUUGGCUUGGUGAUGAUCAAGUGGCCAGACGUUGAUAGUGUAAGGGGCAUAUCUCGUUUCGAAAGCCUGUGAUUUGGUUCGCUUGCCAAUAUCUGCGCCUCAUCUUAAGUUGGCACUGAUCCAGCCCCCCCUUCGCUCUGACACACACGAAGGUGAAUAGUAAUAAUAAAAAGAUGGCAUCCUAUGAGGGUUGAUACAUGCUCACAGUGAGCCUUAUCAAUAGGCAACAUGGCUACCUGUAUGAAGAUAGUGCAUGUGUCCGUUUGUCUGUAACGAUGGGACAUUAAAAAAUGGGACGGGCCUAAUCCCCCUGGAAAACUAUUCGAAUCUACUUUUUUUCCAAACUGAGAACUUUCACCUUUGUCGAACAAAGUAGGCGCUUUAAGAACAAUGAGCUGGGCUGCCAAGGUCUAAGUGUUUGUGGCGAUAUAAUAGGCCUACUUGACUAUACAGUUGCUCUGCAACUUUACGUUUCGCUUAGGUGUCAGAUUCCAAGAGAUCGCUGUCUUUGAGUUUGAGCCACUUGACAAAAUAAUCCAAUGACAAUGCAGUUGUUAAAUUGGACUUCAAAACGCUAUAUUAAGCACUUGCCCUUUCCAUCAAUCUUCCUGAGGAUGGGCCUUCUCCAAAACUAUUGUUCGCUUGAUUAAGCACUUCUUUUUUACCCUUUUGAAGCGCCGUAUGUCUUUGACUGUCUGUUGUCACUUAACAACCAAGACAGCUUUCCAAUUCGAUUUGAAACCUGGCAGCAUCGAGGCUUACACUGAUGGAAUUUACACAGGGCCAUAUUUACCACUAUAAAAAUUGCCAUUUAAAAAUGUUUAAUAAUAGAGGUGAUGGUAUGAUGUAAGUUCACUCUGAAAACAGUCACGUCUAGUUUCACUGGCUAUCCAGAUCGUGCACCACUCAAGGGAAUAUGGAGAACACAGCGAUAUUAGGCCUACGGUCACCAUUUUCAACGUAAUGUUUGAACAACAACUGGUACAGGUAGCUUUGCAUCUUAGCACUUAAGGGCAUUUCAGGAGCUUGAACCGGUGAUAUCCUUAUCCGAGUGGAAAAUCAAAUGAUAUGUCAAAAUGAGAGUUAUUGUGCUUCAACAAUGCCUCCUGAAAUGAACGUAGCUUCGCUGUACUGGUUGCUCAUCUGAUGCAAGACCACGUCAUAUGAGCCAUCACCAGUCCAGAUGAGAUGAAAAUAUUCAGUGUGUCAGAAUUGUGCGGAUUUGCAGUGGCAAGCGAAUGUAUUAUAUGCAGAGCCAACCUGUCACCACUCUCAUGUUAAACCCGUACUUAACCUCUACGGAAGCAGGUGUUCCAUCCACAUUGUGCAUUAAUUGACUGGAUUCUAUUGUUAAUAAUUGAUAGUUUUGAACCAAAGCCAAAAAAAAAAAAAA
Acanthaster planci (crown-of-thorns starfish) is the source of this 5049-nucleotide long non-coding RNA. The record is from RefSeq and is a predicted model, not a curated record. NCBI's taxonomy places the organism in Eukaryota, Metazoa, Echinodermata, Asteroidea, Valvatida, Acanthasteridae.